GGCACUAGCUCAGUUGGUAGAGCGCGACCUUGCCAAGGUCGAGGUCACGAGUUCGAGCC
RNAcentral lists this transfer RNA (59 nucleotides) under Pseudoalteromonas sp. TMED43. RNAcentral's name for it is "tRNA-Gly". It matches the Rfam family "tRNA", at positions 8 to 59 of the family's 71-position model. Rfam says of the family: Transfer RNA (tRNA) molecules are approximately 80 nucleotides in length. The record is from RNAcentral. Lineage: Bacteria; Pseudomonadati; Pseudomonadota; Gammaproteobacteria; Alteromonadales; Pseudoalteromonadaceae. RNAcentral also lists the same sequence under 1 other name.